UGCGGGGUAGGAGGAGGAUCAGUCUCCGUUCAGUCUGCUCCAGCUACCCAUUAUGUUCCUUUCCAACCCCCUCCUGUCCUAGAAGAAUGCUACAGAAUUUGAGUGGACCAAGGCGGCUUAAAAUAGAGGAAAAAACAAACAAAAAAACAACCAAAACCCUGAAAAAGGUCUCAGAAAUUUCCAGGCCUGUGGAUUUUUGUUGUUAUUUCUUGGAGACAGGGUCAAAGGUCUCUUAGACUGGCCUUAAAAAUAGUUGAGGAUGACCUUGAACUCCAGAUCCUCUUGCCUCACUUCCAGAGAAAUGAAAUAACAGGUAUGCAUGCACCAUCAUGCCUGGUGUGUACAGUGCUGAGGAUGGAACCCAGGGCUGGUCAUGUAAGGCAUUCGCUCGACUAACACAACCACAGCCUCAGGCCACACCUAACCUUUUAUUACAACUCGAGACAACGGAACCCACUCUGUAGACCAGGCUAGCCUCGAACUACAGAGAGUCACCUGCCUCUGCUGGGAUUAAAGGUCCCAGCUGAGGACGCACUGCUUACCUUCUCCAAAAUCAAGUGGCCGCAGACACAGCACUUCUCAGCCGCCUCCUGAAACCCUGAAAACUGGAGAAGGGACGAAAG
Long non-coding RNA from Peromyscus californicus insignis, 623 nucleotides. RefSeq lists it as uncharacterized. The record is from RefSeq and is a predicted model, not a curated record. The transcript is spliced from 3 exons. NCBI's taxonomy places the organism in Eukaryota, Metazoa, Chordata, Mammalia, Rodentia, Cricetidae.